RNAcentral lists this ribosomal RNA (508 nucleotides) under uncultured bacterium. Its description in RNAcentral is "bacterial SSU rRNA". It matches the Rfam family "Bacterial small subunit ribosomal RNA", at positions 26 to 518 of the family's 1533-position model. The record is from RNAcentral.
CGUGGCUCGAGGAUGAACGCUGGCGGCGUGCCUAACACAUGCAAGUCGAACGAAGCACCUCUGAUCAGAGAUUCGUCGAAGAUUGGAUUUGACGUUAGUGGCGGACGGGUGAGUAAUGUAUGAGCAACCUGCCUUUCAGAGGGGGACAACAGUUGGAAACGACUGCUAAUACCGCAUAAUGUAUCGAGAGGGCAUCCUUUUGAUACCAAAGGAGCAAUCCGCUGAAAGAUGGGCUCAUAUCUGAUUAGUUAGUUGGCAGGGUAACGGCCUACCAAGACUGCGAUCAGUAGCCGGACUGAGAGGUUGAACGGCCACAUUGGGACUGAGAUACGGCCCAGACUCCGUACGGGAGGCAGCAGUGGGGAAUAUUGGGCAAUGGGCGAAAGCCUGACCCAAGCAACGCCGCGUGAAGGAAGAAGGUCUUCGGAUUGUAAACUUCUUUUAUGAGGACGAAGGACGUGACGGUACCUCAUGAAUAAGCCACGGCUAACUACGUGCCAGCAGCAGC